Oncorhynchus nerka (sockeye salmon) is the source of this 875-nucleotide long non-coding RNA. RefSeq lists it as uncharacterized. The record is from RefSeq and is a predicted model, not a curated record. The transcript is spliced from 3 exons. NCBI's taxonomy places the organism in Eukaryota, Metazoa, Chordata, Actinopteri, Salmoniformes, Salmonidae.
CUUUUUAGACCUUUUCGGUAUACUAGUCACUGUGUUUUAAAUACACUUUUAUCAUAUCUAGUAGUUACCUCGUGAAUUUCAUAUUAAAUCAGCAAGCUGGCUGACACCUAUAUGUUAUCUUCAAUCUAGAUUAGCACUAGCCUAGUCGCUAAUGAUAGCUAGCUAACAUCCCCGACCAUGAGCUCACUGAGCUACUCCCCCCUUCCUAAAGAAAAGGACAGAGACAGACGCUCUCGUGAAAAAGGAGAAGGAAGAGGAGGCUGUCCCAGUAAAAACCUUUUUUGAGGAAGUAACAAUGAAAGAAGAGGAAGCUUUCAGAGUGAAAGAGGAGGAAGAGAAUGAGGAGGAUUGCAGUGGUUGGCGUGAAAGAGGAGGAGGGUGAGAUGACUUUCUCAUUGAAAGAAGAGCGGACUGGAGAUCUUAACACCAGAGAGAGACCAGACUCUCGCUCUGAGAGUGGGAAGAGUCCUUCAGAGGAACCAGACCUAGAGAAGCCCAAACCAGCCAGACCACAUCAAUGCUCCCACUGUGGAAAUAGUUUUACUUGACUAUGACCUGCCAUUUUGUCGUGCUUGAGGUCCCACAUUCUGUCUUUCCAACUCCAAGCUACCUUCUGGUGGACCAGUGUAAUUGACAUGGACUUGGAAUUUAAGUUUGUCAAAGCAUUCUGGAAUGAACUAACCCCGCUAUUGCAUCACCAUACAUCUACAACUCCUUAAAAGCAUUUUGUCAACACAAACACAAUAUUUGGAGCUUGACAUUUAAACUUUGAUUUUACAGUCUUUGAAGUCCUUUAGUAUGUUUUACCUGUUCUUUGGUCACCACGGUCAAGUUCUACUGAUUAAUUAAGAGCUUAAUAAAUUACUUUAAAAGGG